RNAcentral lists this long non-coding RNA (443 nucleotides) under Homo sapiens (human). RNAcentral describes it as "HSALNT0245300". Lineage: Eukaryota; Metazoa; Chordata; Mammalia; Primates; Hominidae. The record is from RNAcentral.
GUUUCACCGUGUUAGCCAGGAUGGUCUCGAUCUCCUGACCUCGUGAUCUGCCCGCCUCGGCCUCCCAAAGUGCUGGGAUUACAGGCGUGAGCCACUGCGCCCGGCCUUUUUGGUUUUUUUUUUUGAGACAGAGUUUCAUUCUCAUUGUCCAGGCUGGAGUGCAAUGGUGCAAUCUCAGCUCACCACAAUCUCCACCUCCCAGGUUCAAGUGAUCCUCUUGCCUCAGCCUCCCGAGUAGCUGGGAUUACUGGCAUGCAACACCACGCCCAGCUGAUUUUGUAUUUUUAGUAGAGACGGGGUUUCUCUAUAUUGGUCAGCUGGUCUCAAUCUCCUGACCUCAGGUGAUCUGCCUGCCUUGGCCUCCCAAAGUGCUGGGAUUACAGGCGUGAGCCACUGCACCCAAGCCCUUUCACACUUGCUGUACGACACCCUGAGCCCCUCAG